Molecule: unclassified non-coding RNA, 332 nt
Filed under: soil metagenome
Description: partial contains 5.8S ribosomal RNA, internal transcribed spacer 2, and large subunit ribosomal RNA
Rfam family: 5.8S ribosomal RNA (bases 1-120)
Source: RNAcentral
GAUGAAGAACGCAGCGAUAUGCGAUAAGUAGUGUGAAUUGCAGAAUUCAGUGAAUCAUCGAAUCUUUGAACGCACAUUGCGCCCUUUGGUAUUCCUUAGGGCAUGCCUGUUCGAGCGUCAUUUAAACCUUCAAGCUAAGCUUGGUGUUGGGUGACUGUCCGCUUCACUGCGGACUCGCCUCAAAAUUAUUGGCGGCCGGUACAUUGGCUUCGAGCGCAGCAGAAACGCGAACUCGGGCCCGUCGUAUUGGCUCCCAGAAGCUAUCUUCACAAUUUUGACCUCGGAUCAGGUAGGGAUACCCGCUGAACUUAAGCAUAUCAAUAAGCGGAGGA